Molecule: small nuclear RNA, 164 nt
Filed under: Rhinolophus ferrumequinum (greater horseshoe bat)
Lineage: Eukaryota; Metazoa; Chordata; Mammalia; Chiroptera; Rhinolophidae
Description: U1 spliceosomal RNA (ENSRFEG00010010137.1)
Rfam family: U1 spliceosomal RNA
About the family: U1 is a small nuclear RNA (snRNA) component of the spliceosome (involved in pre-mRNA splicing).
Source: Rfam by way of RNAcentral
AUACUUACCUGGCAGGGGAGAUACCAUGAUCACGAAGGUGGUUUUCCCAGGGCGAGGCUUAUCCAUUGCACUCCAGAUGUGCUGACCCCUGCGAUUCCCCCAAAUGUGGGAAACUAGACUGCAUAAUUUGUGGUAGUGGGGGACUGCGUUUGUGCUCUCCCCUA